This 111-nucleotide small RNA is filed under the name Affinirhizobium rhizoryzae. Its description in RNAcentral is "ar15". It matches the Rfam family "Alphaproteobacterial ar15". The record is from RNAcentral. Lineage: Bacteria; Pseudomonadati; Pseudomonadota; Alphaproteobacteria; Hyphomicrobiales; Rhizobiaceae. RNAcentral also lists the same sequence under 1 other name.
AGCUGAUGCACAUGGCGGUCUUCCUCCCAGUUCCGCCGCAGCAGCUGUUCCCCUCUGGAGGUUUUAACCUUCACAACUUUAUGGGCCGCGGCUUUCCGCUGGCCCUUUUUU